AUGGUUUUAUUCCAAAGCUGUGUCAACUGGCACAACAAAUAGGAGAGGAAGAAAGUGCUAUAAAGCUCCGCACAGUUGGCCUGAAAGCACUUUCUGCAAUGGUUUGGUUCAUGGGCGAAUAUUUCCAUGUUUCAGCGGAAUUUGACAAUAUUGUUUCAGUAGUCUUGGAAAAUUAUCCAAGGCCAAGAAAGGAAACUCCAGACUCAAACCAGAACAGGGAGGAUGACGAAAACCCAGCAUUUUGGUCUAAGGCGUGCCUGCAUAACAUGGCCAAGCUAGGUAAGGAGGCUACAACCACAAGGCGAGUUUUGGAAUCUUUAUUCCGCUACUUUGACGACGACAAUUUAUGGCCUACUGAAAAUGGAAUUGCUGUACCUAUUCUAAAGGAUAUGCAGUACACGAUGGAUGCUUCAGGAGAGA
This 420-nucleotide unclassified non-coding RNA is filed under the name Hevea brasiliensis (rubber tree). Lineage: Eukaryota; Viridiplantae; Streptophyta; Magnoliopsida; Malpighiales; Euphorbiaceae. The record is from RNAcentral.